UGGCGGACGGGUGAGUAACGCGUGAGAAUCUGCCUUGGGGUCGGGGACAACCACUGGAAACGGUGGCUAAUACCGGAUAAGCCUUUGGGUAAAAAAUUUAUUGCCCCAAGAGGAGCUCGCGUCUGAUUAGCUAGUUGGUGAGGUAAAAGCUCACCAAGGCAGCGAUCAGUAGCUGGUCUGAGAGGACGAUCAGCCACACUGGGACUGAGACACGGCCCAGACUCCUACGGGAGGCAGCAGUGGGGAAUUUUCCGCAAUGGGCGAAAGCCUGACGGAGCAAGACCGCGUGAGGGAGGAAGGCUCUUGGGUUGUAAACCUCUUUUCUCAGGGAAGAAGCUCUGACGGUACCUGAGGAAUCAGCCUCGGCUAACUCCGUGCCAGCAGCCGCGGUAAUACGGAGGAGGCAAGCGUUAUCCGGAAUUAUUGGGCGUAAAGCGUCCGCAGGUGGCGAUUCAAGUCUGCUGUCAAAGCACGGGGCUUAACUCCGUUAAGGCAGUGGAAACUGAAUAGCUAGAGUGCCGUAGGGGUAGAGGGAAUUCCCGGUGUAGCGGUGAAGUGCGUAGAGAUCGGGAAGAACAUCGGUGGCGAAAGCGCUCUACUGGACGGCAACUGACACUCAGGGACGAAAGCUAGGGGAGCGAAUGGGAUUAGAUACCCCAGUAGUCCUAGCUGUAAACGAUGGAUACUAGGUGUAGCUUGUAUCGACCCGAGCUGUGCCGAAGCUAACGCGUUAAGUAUCCCGCCUGGGGAGUACGCACGCAAGUGUGAAACUCAAAGGAAUUGACGGGGGCCCGCACAAGCGGUGGA
This 807-nucleotide ribosomal RNA is filed under the name uncultured organism. RNAcentral's name for it is "bacterial SSU rRNA". It matches the Rfam family "Bacterial small subunit ribosomal RNA", at positions 96 to 936 of the family's 1533-position model. The record is from RNAcentral.